This 540-nucleotide ribosomal RNA is filed under the name uncultured bacterium. RNAcentral describes it as "partial 16S ribosomal RNA". It matches the Rfam family "Bacterial small subunit ribosomal RNA", at positions 355 to 887 of the family's 1533-position model. The record is from RNAcentral.
UGGGGAAUUUUGGACAAUGGGGGCAACCCUGAUCCAGCAAUGCCGCGUGUGUGAAGAAGGCCUUCGGGUUGUAAAGCACUUUUGUCCGGAAAGAAAACGCCGUGGUUAAUACCCGUGGCGGAUGACGGUACCGGAAGAAUAAGCACCGGCUAACUACGUGCCAGCAGCCGCGGUAAUACGUAGGGUGCAAGCGUUAAUCGGAAUUACUGGGCGUAAAGCGUGCGCAGGCGGUCCGCUAAGACAGAUGUGAAAUCCCCGGGCUUAACCUGGGAACUGCAUUUGUGACUGGCGGGCUAGAGUAUGGCAGAGGGGGGUAGAAUUCCACGUGUAGCAGUGAAAUGCGUAGAGAUGUGGAGGAAUACCGAUGGCGAAGGCAGCCCCCUGGGCCAAUACUGACGCUCAUGCACGAAAGCGUGGGGGAGCAAACAGGAUUAGAUACCCUGGUAGUCCACGCCCUAAACGAUGUCAACUAGUUGUCGGGUCUUCAUUGACUUGGUAACGUAGCUAACGCGUGAAGUUGACCGCCUGGGGAGUACGGUC